GACGAACGCUGGCGGCGUGCUUAACACAUGCAAGUCGAACGCUGAAGCUCAGCUUUUGUUGGGUGGAUGAGUGGCGAACGGGUGAGUAACACGUGAGUAACCUGCCCCCUUCUUUGGGAUAACGCCCGGAAACGGGUGCUAAUACUGGAUAUUCACUGGUCUUCGCAUGGGGGUUGGUGGAAAGGGUUUUUCUGGUGGGGGAUGGGCUCGCGGCCUAUCAGCUUGUUGGUGGGGUGAUGGCCUACCAAGGCUUUGACGGGUAGCCGGCCUGAGAGGGUGACCGGUCACAUUGGGACUGAGAUACGGCCCAGACUCCUACGGGAGGCAGCAGUGGGGAAUAUUGCACAAUGGGCGCAAGCCUGAUGCAGCGACGCCGCGUGAGGGAUGGAGGCCUUCGGGUUGUGAACCCCUUUCGCUCAUGGUCAAGCCGCAACAAUGGUUGUGGUGAGGGUAGUGGGUAAAGAAGCGCCGGCUAACUACGUG
This 483-nucleotide ribosomal RNA is filed under the name uncultured bacterium. RNAcentral describes it as "partial 16S ribosomal RNA". It matches the Rfam family "Bacterial small subunit ribosomal RNA", at positions 28 to 507 of the family's 1533-position model. The record is from RNAcentral.